GGAUGAGGGCAUCCAGUCUUUUCCCCAGGCAAUUCUACUAUGUCGGCAACACAAUGACUUGGACGAAUGCACAGAGCUACUGCAAAGAAACAUAUACAGAUCUAGUUUUUGUGUAUAGUGAGGAUGACAUUGACCACCUGAACCAAAUUACUCCCACCGUAUACUCCUAUAGUCUCCCCAUGUGGAUAGGGGGCUUUAGUUUGAUUGAUGAUUCAGAAAACGUUACUGACAUUACAGAUAAUUACUGCUUGGCAAUAAACAUGUUUUCCAAGAAACUGAGCAAAAAGAGUUGCACCAAUGCGUAUCCGUUUUACUGUAGCAGAGAUGAAGGCCGAAAGGUGCUGUUGCGAAUAAAAGUGGCAUCUGACAAAUUUCUCACAGAUCCUGCAAUGAAGGCAAACAUCUUAACUAAGAUCAAGAAUAAAGUUGACGAGCAAACGUUUGGCAAUGUUAUCAGAACAGUGUGGAGCACAAAGCAGGAUUUCCAUCGAAAUGAUAUUAAGAUAGCAAAUGCAACCUGCCCAUAGCCAAAACAUGGCUUUUCAAAUAGUUUUUCAAAAAUAUCACUGCAUAUAAUGUCAUGCAAUGGCAAAUAAUGUCCUUCCUUAUACUGUAUAACGUACAUGUUUAUAAAUUUACUGUAGUGAGUGAUUUAGGUUUAAGCAAAACUGAAUAAAU
Molecule: long non-coding RNA, 678 nt
Organism: Paramisgurnus dabryanus
Lineage: Eukaryota; Metazoa; Chordata; Actinopteri; Cypriniformes; Cobitidae
Source: RefSeq, a predicted model, not a curated record